AGGGCACCACCAGGAGUGGAGCCUGCGGCUUAAUUUGACUCAACACGGGGAAACUUACCCGGCCUGGACACUGGAAGGAUUGACAGAUUGAGAGCUCUUUCUUGAUUCAGUGGGUGGUGGUGCAUGGCCGUUCUUAGUUGGUGGAGCGAUUUGUCUGGUUAAUUCCGAUAACGAACGAGACUCUAGCCUAUUAAAUAGGCUCCCGGCUUUUAAACGCCGGGAGGACUUCUUAGAGGGACAGGUGGCGGUUCAGCCGCACGAAAGAGAGCAAUAACAGGUCUGUGAUGCCCUUUGUUGUCCGGGGCCGCACGCGCGCUACACUGAAGAGAUCAGCGUGCUUUAUGUUCCUGCUCCGACCGGAGUGGGGAACCCAGUGAACCUUCUUCGUGAUUGGGAUAGAAGAUUGUAAUUAUUCUUCUUGAACGAGGAAUUCCCAGUAAAUGCGAGUCAUAAGCUCGCGUUGAUUACGUCCCUGCCCUUUGUACACACCGCCCGUCGCUGCUACCGAUUGAACGAUUU
RNAcentral lists this ribosomal RNA (519 nucleotides) under uncultured eukaryote. Its description in RNAcentral is "SSU rRNA". It matches the Rfam family "Eukaryotic small subunit ribosomal RNA", at positions 1161 to 1699 of the family's 1831-position model. The record is from RNAcentral.